AUUCAGACUCUACUGCAGAGAGUAUAAUUCUGAUGGACUGGACACAUUGUUAGAAUUCCAAAGAAAAUGAUGAACAGGCUGAUGUUUAGAAGGGCCUGGAAAGAUUUGCAUGAACUGAUGCUGAGAGAAAGAAGCAGAACCAGAAAAACAUGGUACACAGCAACAGAAGGUUUGUGUGAUGAUCAACUGUAAUGGACCUGGUUCUUCCCAGAGGUUCAAUGAUCCAAGGCAAUACCAAUAAACUUUGAAUGGAAAAUGCCAAUCUGCAUCCAGAGAGAAAACUGUGGGGAUCAACAGAUAUUAUUUUCAGUUUCUUUUUCUUUCUUCUGAUUUUUCUCUCCCAACAUUUCCAUUCAUAUGGAAAUAUGUGAAAAAUGAAUGUACAUGUAUAAUAAAAAAGUUUUUAUAUGUAAUUGAGAAAAAUAACAAAACAAUAAUGAAUACAUCCAAAAUAAAUUAUUACUAUACUCACGGUUUUGAAGAUAGUUAUCUAUGUAUAGCAGUUCACAUCAAUAAAGAUUGCAUCAAAACUCAU
Molecule: long non-coding RNA, 535 nt
Organism: Antechinus flavipes (yellow-footed antechinus)
Lineage: Eukaryota; Metazoa; Chordata; Mammalia; Dasyuromorphia; Dasyuridae
Exons: 2
Source: RefSeq, a predicted model, not a curated record